Leopardus geoffroyi (Geoffroy's cat) is the source of this 422-nucleotide long non-coding RNA. RefSeq lists it as uncharacterized. The transcript is spliced from 3 exons. Lineage: Eukaryota; Metazoa; Chordata; Mammalia; Carnivora; Felidae. The record is from RefSeq and is a predicted model, not a curated record.
GCAGCGGCGCCUGGGGAAGGAGUAGCUCUGGCGGAGCUUCUAGUAACCGUGGCGUCGGGCUCUGAGGCGCGGAGGAUUGGAGCUACUCGAAUUUUCCCCCUCAGAUACGCUAGUUGCGGGUGGUGUCCCGUGAUGGGGGGCAUGAGUCCUGUCUCACCAUGUCUGGCUGGCGGCGACCCAGGUGCCACGUGAUGGUCAUUUGAAGACAGGCCUGUCGGAUGUCAGAUGCCUGGGAUGUGGACAAGAUGCCUGGAGAUUCAGAAACCAUUUGUGAUCAUGAAGACAAAAGCCACAAAGGACAUCAGCCUUGGACAGCCGAACACCUACACCUUAUAUAAGAAAAAUAAGCCACUUGUCUACUGGAGCCAUUCUUACUUGAAGCUGACUGCCACUUCAGCUAUGGUUUAAGGAUUCAAAACGCU